AUUGAACGCUGGCGGCAUGCCUUACACAUGCAAGUCGAACGGCAGCACGGGAGCAAUCCUGGUGGCGAGUGGCGAACGGGUGAGUAAUAUAUCGGAACGUGCCCAGUCGUGGGGGAUAACGCAGCGAAAGCUGUGCUAAUACCGCAUACGAUCUACGGAUGAAAGCGGGGGAUCGCAAGACCUCGCGCGAUUGGAGCGGCCGAUAUCAGAUUAGCUAGUUGGUGGGGUAAAGGCCCACCAAGGCGACGAUCUGUAGCUGGUCUGAGAGGACGACCAGCCACACUGGAACUGAGACACGGUCCAGACUCCUACGGGAGGCAGCAGUGGGGUAUUUUGGACAAUGGGCGCAAGCCUGAUCCAGCAAUGCCGCGUGCAGGAUGAAGGCCUUCGGGUUGUAAACUGCUUUUGUACGGAACGAAACGGCCCUUUCUAAUACAGGGGGCUAAUGACGGUACCGUAAGAAUAAGCACCGGCUAACUACGUGCCAGCCGCCGCCGUAA
RNAcentral lists this ribosomal RNA (500 nucleotides) under uncultured bacterium. RNAcentral describes it as "partial 16S ribosomal RNA". It matches the Rfam family "Bacterial small subunit ribosomal RNA", at positions 30 to 523 of the family's 1533-position model. The record is from RNAcentral.